RNAcentral lists this long non-coding RNA (1744 nucleotides) under Cinara cedri. Lineage: Eukaryota; Metazoa; Arthropoda; Insecta; Hemiptera; Aphididae. The record is from RNAcentral.
CAUAAAUAAUAUUUCAAUCGUUAAAUUUAAAGGUACUGAAAAUAUUAUAAUUUAUUAAUUGUAAAUAAGUAAUAGAGACAUUUUUUUUAAAUUAUAUAAAUAUAUUUAAUUGGGGGGGACUAACUUCCCCCUAUUUAAUGGGAAUUUGUUCGGUUCAUUAAAUGAUUUCGGUCAUUAGCUAUGCAGCCGCUGAGGAUGAAGUCUAGUCACGCCUAUGUUUGUAGUUCAAACAAAAUGAUUGUACCGGAUAAUUAUUGAGUGAUAAUUAUUCAAAUAAAAUUAUAGAAUAAAAAGUUUUAUACACGCAAUCGUGUUGAUUAAUUUUUUUUUUUAAAUAAUCUAUCAGUAAACAUACGCAAUCGUGCUCUACUACUGUCAAAUACCUUUCUAUCUACAACAAUGGCCUAUCCAUAAUGUCGAUUAUGUCGAGAUUUGUUUUGAUUUUUUUUUUUUUUUAAUUUCACAGGUAAACUAGUUAUUGAAACGUUAGACAAUUUAAAAAUUAAUAAUUCGCUAGACGUCAGAACAAUAUUAUUACACAACUAUUAAACCUAUAGUACCUACAAACGAUCGCAGUUCUCGUACCUGCAAGAAAAUUGAACAAGCACUUUAUUCGACAUUGUAUUAUGGGACUGCGGUUCCAUUAUAUUUUACAUAUACAAUUUAAUUGUGCGUGUACGGUAAAAGAUCGUGUACAUGAGUUAAAAGUUUACACGUUAAACCUUACUUAAUUCUUGUACCAUAACCGGAGUCGUGUGUACUGCAGGGUUUAAAAAAAUUAAUCGAACAACAUAUUCAUUGUACCUCGUCUGUUCUUGAUACUGUGUAAAAUAAAAUGCAAAUACAAAAUUAGUAGGUAUAUGGUAAUUAAAAACAUUACGCGUCGUAUUCAAUAGAAUCGAACUAAUGCCACUAUACUAGUUCGAUUUUAAAAUUUUCAGAAAGUAUUUCAAACUAAGAUACUCUAAAAUUUUCACUUCUCACAUUGUAUUAUUUUAUGAACUCCGUACAUACGUAUAUUAUUUUCUCUACGAUAAGACUUACUAAUGUAUUUCGUUAAAUUUCAUUAUCUUGUAAUUUGUUCUAAUUUUUUUUUUUUUUAUUCCAACGUUUAUUAUAGACGAUUAUUUAUAAUAAAUAAUAAUGUAGGUACACGGUGUGAUUGGUUAAUCGAUUGGGUAUUGUAUUAUACUGUUAGUAAUAUUAAGAUAUACUCGUAAAUAAUUAAAAUAAUGAUAGUAUAUAAUUAUAAUUAUAAUACGGUCGUUCAUCACAAACCCCAAACAACAACAUGUCGGCAUGGGGAGAGUUUCCGGGGGAAGUUACUGAUCAACUUUAAUUAUAGCAGCUUGUUUUCAAACAAAUUGUUGAAGGGAUAGACUUGAGUCAUAUAUACAUAUAUAAUAUAUAUAUAUAUAUAGUUAAUGGCAGUCGAAUGAAGAGAAUUCACUGGUAUUCUGUGGUAGAAGAGGUUUAAUUAAAAACAAACCCCUGGUCGUCUUUCUCUCUCUCACUAUCUCUCUCUCUCUCUCUCUCUCUCUAUCUAUCUAUCUAUGUCUUUCUAUCGCUUUUUUUCUCGUGUACUCUAGUCGAACUUUACAAAACAUCGAAAAAAAAAAAUAUCCUUACUGAAAUUUUCACCUUGCGCAGAAGCUGUCAAAAUGACAGAUGUCCAACAAAACUACUCGGAUGAUUACGAAAAGUUGUUGGCACUUCUAAAGUUUUUUCACACAAAAACACCUGU